Solanum lycopersicum (tomato) is the source of this 2371-nucleotide non-coding RNA. The record is from RefSeq and is a predicted model, not a curated record. NCBI's taxonomy places the organism in Eukaryota, Viridiplantae, Streptophyta, Magnoliopsida, Solanales, Solanaceae.
AUUAGUAUUAAUUAGUUAGAUUGUAUUUUCAAAAAAAAAAUAAAAAAAUAACGGCUCUUGCUAUUAAUCCUUUUCAAUGUAAAUUUAAAUUCCAAUUUGAGAAAGCACACUAUAAAUACAUACUAUCAGUUCCACCCAUAACGGCUCUUCUCUUCUCUUCUCUUCUCUCAUCGAUACAACGGCUCUUGUUAAAGACAAUGGUGAAGAUCUUGGUGGCGAGGACAAAACAAGAAGGAGCUGGUUGUCAGGCAAAUGAUGAGAGACAGACAUUGCUGGAGCGACCAAGAAACGACGGGAAUUUUCUAAUGUAUCGAAUCAUCAACUGUCUCUGCUGAUCUCUUAUUCUUCCAACCUUGUAGAAGAUCAAGAUUGAUGGGAUAAAACAAGACCCUUGGUUCAAUCCUUUUCCCUUCAUUGUGAAAGGUUGUUGCAGAAAAUCCAAUAUCCCAAGCUAAAGCGGAAUCUGAAACCUUCAGGGACAUUGUGGUUCUUGUUGGGCUUGUUGUGGUGCUGCUGAGUCGUUGUCUGAUUGUUUCUGUAUUCAUUUUGGCUGGAAUAUCUGUGUCAGCAAAUGAUAUCGUAGCAUGCUGUGGUGGUCACUGAAGAGGUCAUACUGUUUUGUUUUAUACACUUCUUGUACUUCUGAGGAAAUACAUCUUUUCUAUAUGCUCGACUAAUAAAUUUUUUCCUGUCAGUGUGAUAUGUGAUUGCUGAUUCUUCAAGUAAACACUAGUAUCCGCAAUCUUAAUAAGUACUCUGUCAAUCUUGACAAAGUCAAAACAUUAGUAUCAUCUAUCGUAUACUACUUCUCCAUUUCUGUUAUAUGUCACCAAUUUGGAUUUCAUGUCCCUUAAAAAGAAACUAGGUAAAUUUACCAUUAUACUACCCUUGUCAAGUUUUUCAAUAAGGAAAUAUAAGUUAAUUUGUUUUGAUUAAUUAAAUUGGCCAACAAACAUGUAUAAAUCAUUUUAAUUUAAAGGUUUUUCCCCCCAUUUUCAUAUAGCUGCAAAAGCGGAACAUCUAAACAGUGAAGAAGAAGAUGAUUUCCCAUGUAUUGAAAGUGUUGCUACUCCUCAGUCAUCCCUCUACUUUUUGUUUUUGUGUGGAGAUAUGUUGGCUGCAAUAAUUGAACUUUAUUUCUGUUGAACGCUGCAUGUCCACCACCUGUAAGCCUACUUUUUGCAUCAGGAGGCUUAUGUAGAGACAAUGUGGCUGAAUAAGUCUCGGGAUAACAAGGACAAAGGGGAAGGAAAGCCUCAAUACUUUUCUGAAGACGAGAUCUGUACGAAUUAACAAGUAGCUCAUUCUCGAGCAUCUUUUUUCUUGUAUACAAAGAAGAUUUCCAGCUCAGGAUGACUUCUUUCAGCCAGAAGGAAGAACAUCAAUAUUCUCCAAAAACAACAUGUUUUCAUCUUCCAUGUCAUUCAUUAGCUUCUUGGACAUCACCACCAGUUCGGCUCCAUUCAUCCAAUUCAUUGAGCUCAUGUUAUGUUUCCACAACUUCCUCGGACAAUCUGCAAUGACAAGAACAUAUUAGAAGAUUACAUGAGUUCAUUUAAGUGUGUAUAUGAUUUGGCCAACCAUAUCCAAGUUGCACCCGUUUGGCAUGGGUACAUCAAGGCGAAUGAAGGACAUAUAACAUAGAUCAGGAGAUUAAGGUGAUAGGUAAAGAAAACUACAUAAGCCUCCUGAUGCAAAAAGUUAUAUCCUGCUUUACAUGCAGCAUUUUUCAGCAAGUUCUCUGGUAGAACAGUCGGGGACGCCCCCCGCCCCCCUGCCCCCGAGGCGGCCUCGGGGCCCCUCCUACCCUGAGGCACGCGUGUGAUAGGGAUCUCAAAUGCUUAUUACUGUGAGUUAAAACCUCACAUUAAAUGAUCGACUUAAUCAAGAGGACUAGAUGUUUUGCUGAAUGGAAUUACCUGCAACUGUUCUGAACUAUACGUAAAUAUAAUAUAAUCAAUCAAAAAGUUUCUUGUUUGGGUUAAUUACAUAUCAUUGUUUAAACCAAUAUAUAGUAGGAAGAGAAGAUUAUGCUGCCAUCAUCUUAGGGUUGCUGCUUUCUUCACUGCAUCUUUGUCAUAUCAGAUGCAGUGGCACUAUUCACCUCAAUCGUUUCUCUCAGUAGUAUUCAAGCCUGCAAUGUUUCUAGAAUCAAUAUAGAGGUGAUAAAUUAUGCAACAUCCCAAUGACGAAGAAAUGAAGAUAGAGGAUUAGUAUUUACGGAACCUGUUUCAGAGAAGCAUAAUGAACUAGAUUUUACAGGCUACAGGACACUAUUGUAUUUUGAGGCAAUAAAACAUUGGUCCUAAAAAUGAUGUUUCUUGAAUGUCAGUAUUUUGAGCCUUAUUUGCGUACUAAGCAGAUUCAACAA